This 354-nucleotide ribosomal RNA is filed under the name Triticum aestivum (bread wheat). RNAcentral's name for it is "partial small subunit ribosomal RNA". The record is from RNAcentral. Lineage: Eukaryota; Viridiplantae; Streptophyta; Magnoliopsida; Poales; Poaceae.
AUGUCCGACAGCAACUCCGUCAUGUCUGUCGGGAUCAUGCCCCUCGUUCUGUCCGAGAUGUUGCUUCAUUUGCUGCUGUGGUGUAAGGUUCUUAGGUUGAACAAUCAUGAGGACCGGAUGCUCCUGAAUCGGGUGCAAAAGUUGCUUGGGGUAGUUUGUGCCGCUUAUUUCUCAAUCUGCAAGGUGCUAAUUUCAAAUAUCUUGGGCAAACUGACCAUAGUGCAGUCAAUUCUGAUCGUGCUUCAGCAUUUUUUUGGAAGUGUCAUAGUCAUUUAUGUUGAUGAUCUCCUUAAAAAGGGAUAUGGGUUUCUUUCGAGUAUCCCCUUGUUCAGUGCCACUGACAUUUGUACAUAG